AGGCCAGUGGUGCAAUGGUUAACACGUCUGACUACCAAUCAGAAGGUUCUAGGUUCGACUCCUUGUUGGCUCG
This is a non-coding RNA of Aethalodelphis obliquidens (Pacific white-sided dolphin), 73 nucleotides long. NCBI's taxonomy places the organism in Eukaryota, Metazoa, Chordata, Mammalia, Artiodactyla, Delphinidae. The record is from the annotation of a RefSeq genome assembly.